UACGUAGGGGGCGAGCGUUGUCCGGAUUUAUUGGGCGUAAAGAGCGUGUAGGCGGCCAAGCAGGUCCGUUGUGAAAACUGGAGGCUUAACCUCCAGACGUCGACGGAAACCGCGUGGCUAGAGUCCGGAAGAGGAGAGUGGAAUUCCUGGUGUAGCGGUGAAAUGCGCAGAUAUCAGGAAGAACACCAAUGGCGAAGGCAGCUCUCUGGGACGGUACUGACGCUGAGACGCGAAAGCGUGGGGAGCAAACAGG
RNAcentral lists this ribosomal RNA (253 nucleotides) under uncultured bacterium. Its description in RNAcentral is "partial 16S ribosomal RNA". It matches the Rfam family "Bacterial small subunit ribosomal RNA", at positions 524 to 776 of the family's 1533-position model. The record is from RNAcentral.